Molecule: transfer RNA, 82 nt
Filed under: groundwater metagenome
Description: tRNA-Ser
Rfam family: tRNA
About the family: Transfer RNA (tRNA) molecules are approximately 80 nucleotides in length. Their secondary structure includes four short double-helical elements and three loops (D, anti-codon, and T loops).
Source: RNAcentral
GCCGAGAUCGCAUAGCGGUAGUGCGCACGCCUGGAAAGCGUGUGGCUGAAAGGCCCCCAGAGUUCGAAUCUCUGUCUCGGCG